This 2904-nucleotide ribosomal RNA is filed under the name Escherichia coli O25b:H4-ST131. RNAcentral describes it as "23S ribosomal RNA". It matches the Rfam family "Bacterial large subunit ribosomal RNA". The record is from RNAcentral. Lineage: Bacteria; Pseudomonadati; Pseudomonadota; Gammaproteobacteria; Enterobacterales; Enterobacteriaceae.
GGUUAAGCGACUAAGCGUACACGGUGGAUGCCCUGGCAGUCAGAGGCGAUGAAGGACGUGCUAAUCUGCGAUAAGCGUCGGUGAGGUGAUAUGAACCGUUAUAACCGGCGAUUUCCGAAUGGGGAAACCCAGUGUGUUUCGACACACUAUCAUUAACUGAAUCCAUAGGUUAAUGAGGCGAACCGGGGGAACUGAAACAUCUAAGUACCCCGAGGAAAAGAAAUCAACCGAGAUUCCCCCAGUAGCGGCGAGCGAACGGGGAGGAGCCCAGAGCCUGAAUCAGUGUGUGUGUUAGUGGAAGCGUCUGGAAAGGCGCGCGAUACAGGGUGACAGCCCCGUACACAAAAAUGCACAUAUUGUGAGCUCGAUGAGUAGGGCGGGACACGUGGUAUCCUGUCUGAAUAUGGGGGGACCAUCCUCCAAGGCUAAAUACUCCUGACUGACCGAUAGUGAACCAGUACCGUGAGGGAAAGGCGAAAAGAACCCCGGCGAGGGGAGUGAAAAAGAACCUGAAACCGUGUACGUACAAGCAGUGGGAGCCUCUUAAUGGGGUGACUGCGUACCUUUUGUAUAAUGGGUCAGCGACUUAUAUUCUGUAGCAAGGUUAACCGAAUAGGGGAGCCGAAGGGAAACCGAGUCUUAACUGGGCGUUAAGUUGCAGGGUAUAGACCCGAAACCCGGUGAUCUAGCCAUGGGCAGGUUGAAGGUUGGGUAACACUAACUGGAGGACCGAACCGACUAAUGUUGAAAAAUUAGCGGAUGACUUGUGGCUGGGGGUGAAAGGCCAAUCAAACCGGGAGAUAGCUGGUUCUCCCCGAAAGCUAUUUAGGUAGCGCCUCGUGAAUUCAUCUCCGGAGGUAGAGCACUGUUUCGGCAAGGGGGUCAUCCCGACUUACCAACCCGAUGCAAACUGCGAAUACCGGAGAAUGUUAUCACGGGAGACACACGGCGGGUGCUAACGUCCGUCGUGAAGAGGGAAACAACCCAGACCGCCAGCUAAGGUCCCAAAGUCAUGGUUAAGUGGGAAACGAUGUGGGAAGGCCCAGACAGCCAGGAUGUUGGCUUAGAAGCAGCCAUCAUUUAAAGAAAGCGUAAUAGCUCACUGGUCGAGUCGGCCUGCGCGGAAGAUGUAACGGGGCUAAACCAUGCACCGAAGCUGCGGCAGCGACACUAUGUGUUGUUGGGUAGGGGAGCGUUCUGUAAGCCUGUGAAGGUGGCCUGUGAGGGUUGCUGGAGGUAUCAGAAGUGCGAAUGCUGACAUAAGUAACGAUAAAGCGGGUGAAAAGCCCGCUCGCCGGAAGACCAAGGGUUCCUGUCCAACGUUAAUCGGGGCAGGGUGAGUCGACCCCUAAGGCGAGGCCGAAAGGCGUAGUCGAUGGGAAACAGGUUAAUAUUCCUGUACUUGGUGUUACUGCGAAGGGGGGACGGAGAAGGCUAUGUUGGCCGGGCGACGGUUGUCCCGGUUUAAGCGUGUAGGCUGGUUUUCCAGGCAAAUCCGGAAAAUCAAGGCUGAGGCGUGAUGACGAGGCACUACGGUGCUGAAGCGACAAAUGCCCUGCUUCCAGGAAAAGCCUCUAAGCAUCAGGUAACAUCAAAUCGUACCCCAAACCGACACAGGUGGUCAGGUAGAGAAUACCAAGGCGCUUGAGAGAACUCGGGUGAAGGAACUAGGCAAAAUGGUGCCGUAACUUCGGGAGAAGGCACGCUGAUAUGUAGGUGAAGCGACUUGCUCGUGGAGCUGAAAUCAGUCGAAGAUACCAGCUGGCUGCAACUGUUUAUUAAAAACACAGCACUGUGCAAACACGAAAGUGGACGUAUACGGUGUGACGCCUGCCCGGUGCCGGAAGGUUAAUUGAUGGGGUUAGCGGUAACGCGAAGCUCUUGAUCGAAGCCCCGGUAAACGGCGGCCGUAACUAUAACGGUCCUAAGGUAGCGAAAUUCCUUGUCGGGUAAGUUCCGACCUGCACGAAUGGCGUAAUGAUGGCCAGGCUGUCUCCACCCGAGACUCAGUGAAAUUGAACUCGCUGUGAAGAUGCAGUGUACCCGCGGCAAGACGGAAAGACCCCGUGAACCUUUACUAUAGCUUGACACUGAACAUUGAGCCUUGAUGUGUAGGAUAGGUGGGAGGCUUUGAAGUGUGGACGCCAGUCUGCAUGGAGCCGACCUUGAAAUACCACCCUUUAAUGUUUGAUGUUCUAACGUGGGCCCCUUACCGGGGUUGCGGACAGUGUCUGGUGGGUAGUUUGACUGGGGCGGUCUCCUCCUAAAGAGUAACGGAGGAGCACGAAGGUUGGCUAAUCCUGGUCGGACAUCAGGAGGUUAGUGCAAUGGCAUAAGCCAGCUUGACUGCGAGCGUGACGGCGCGAGCAGGUGCGAAAGCAGGUCAUAGUGAUCCGGUGGUUCUGAAUGGAAGGGCCAUCGCUCAACGGAUAAAAGGUACUCCGGGGAUAACAGGCUGAUACCGCCCAAGAGUUCAUAUCGACGGCGGUGUUUGGCACCUCGAUGUCGGCUCAUCACAUCCUGGGGCUGAAGUAGGUCCCAAGGGUAUGGCUGUUCGCCAUUUAAAGUGGUACGCGAGCUGGGUUUAGAACGUCGUGAGACAGUUCGGUCCCUAUCUGCCGUGGGCGCUGGAGAACUGAGGGGGGCUGCUCCUAGUACGAGAGGACCGGAGUGGACGCAUCACUGGUGUUCGGGUUGUCAUGCCAAUGGCACUGCCCGGUAGCUAAAUGCGGAAGAGAUAAGUGCUGAAAGCAUCUAAGCACGAAACUUGCCCCGAGAUGAGUUCUCCCUGACUCCUUGAGAGUCCUGAAGGAACGUUGAAGACGACGACGUUGAUAGGCCGGGUGUGUAAGCGCAGCGAUGCGUUGAGCUAACCGGUACUAAUGAACCGUGAGGCUUAACCUU